Molecule: long non-coding RNA, 1724 nt
Organism: Harmonia axyridis
Lineage: Eukaryota; Metazoa; Arthropoda; Insecta; Coleoptera; Coccinellidae
Exons: 2
Source: RefSeq, a predicted model, not a curated record
ACAUAAACUAUAUUCCUCUGUAUGGUCUACAUGUAGUGUACUCUUUGCUUGCCAAGUAGUGAGGCUUAGAAACGGUUAUAUUUCAUUGAAAAUAGUCGAAAUUCAACAAACAUUCGGAAACUAUUCCUUCCGUUGCAAAUUGAUAAGGAUUGAUUAUCAUAAAUCAAUUGGUUUUUUGAAUAUAUUUUUCGUCAGCAGAAAUGAUUCAAUUAUCGAUCAUUUUUACACAAUAUUAUUUUUAUUCCCGUCAACUCCUAAAACAUAAAAAGUGGGCCACUCUUUGCUUCACAAUUGUUCAGUCUGACAAAUGUUGCAGUCCAAAUUUUAACAGUUUGUUCUGAUAGAGGUUUCAAUCUUAAUAGACCUUUUAGUGUUUUAGUCGUUUUUCCUUAAUUUUUAUACAUUUAACAAAGUUUUACUGUUAAUUUCCAAUAUUCUCUGUACUCAAAUCCAAGGACGUGAUGACACCGAACCUAGUUUGAAAAACGUUUUCCGUUUGAUUCUUUGAUGUCGAUGAUUUUACAUUUUUUUUUAAAUUUUCGCUUUUUCAGAAGCACAUCUUCAUGAAUUCAUAUCAUUUCAAUGCCAAUGAAAUCGUAUUUGUUGAUACCAAACAGAUUUCGCAAACGGGAUUUACUCAUUUCAUUCACAAUGAAGUUGUUUUGAUUGAAUUGAUAAAUUAUCUGAUUUAUCACAAUCAAUACAAAUAAAUACGUAAAUAAAUAAUGAUGUCACAUUCUUGGAAGAUGAAUUAAAUGUAUACUUUCAUCUCACUUCAGAUUCAAUGAAUUUUAUCAUAGAUAAAUGCAGCAUACGAGCAAAAUUCAUGAAAGAGGAUUCAAUAAAAGAGAUGUAAGAUAGUAUCGAAGCUUCCACUUUUUCAACAUAUAAACCACAAUCCGUUUACUGAUCAUGGUAGCCGAUGCCCUGAACUACAAAAAAUAACCAUAAAUGUACUCACUUAUGGAAUGUACAACGUAAACCUAGCAAUAAACUAAUUACACUCCUGAAAGCAGAGAAAGAUCUGACUACAGCUCAAAUGGAAAAUAAUUUAUCGCUAUUCCAACAUUAAUAUCCAGAGUUUUGACAUACAUUACUCGCAUAAUGGAAAAUCCAUUUAGCUCAAAAUAAAUAACACUUCAAUUCACGAAUUUAUAGUAUCAUUUAUCACACAAAAAUCGAUUUGCUUCUUUAUCACAGAGGAAAGGUACUUAAAUGAUAAAACUGAUAACUUCGUUCAGUUAACACCAGUUUGAUCUCAGGUAUUGUUGAUAGCGAACGUAACAUAGAAGAAAUCGUUAUGGCUUCUUCUAAAUACACUUUUAUUUUGCUUGCUGCGCUUAUUUUAUUAUUGGGUUUGUGCACAUCAGUAAUGAGCGAACCUGAUGUUGGUGUCACUGGAGUGGGACACAUAAUUGAUGCUGGAUGCAGGGAAGGAUACGUUAAAAUUAAUGGAGUUUGUGUAGAAGAUCUUUGAGUAUUUCAUUUUAAAUUAUUCCCUUGGCCAAUCCUUCCAUAUUUACAUCAACUCUUCAAAUUAGUAGUAAAAAUUUAAUAAUUUUUCCAAAGAGAUAGAAACCUUCAUUUUUUUCCUUAAACAAAUUCCAGCUAUUGAGGACAAUCAAUGUACAUCAAACAGUAAUACAAUAAUUUAUAUUGUUAUAUCGUAUUUUAUUUUAAAUAUCAUAUGUAGCAAAGCACAUUAAUAAACCAUAUUGCAUUGA